Molecule: transfer RNA, 75 nt
Filed under: Anaerosalibacter massiliensis
Lineage: Bacteria; Bacillati; Bacillota; Tissierellia; Tissierellales; Sporanaerobacteraceae
Also listed under: 1 other name
Description: tRNA-Glu
Rfam family: tRNA
About the family: Transfer RNA (tRNA) molecules are approximately 80 nucleotides in length. Their secondary structure includes four short double-helical elements and three loops (D, anti-codon, and T loops).
Source: RNAcentral
GGCCCUAUGGUCAAGUGGUUAAGACAUCGCCCUUUCACGGCGGUAUCCCGGGUUCGAAUCCCGGUAGGGUCACCA